ACUCCUACGGGAGGCAGCAGUGGGGAAUAUUGCACAAUGGGGGAAACCCUGAUGCAGCCAUGCCGCGUGUGUGAAGAAGGCCUUCGGGUUGUAAAGCACUUUCAGUAGGGAGGAAGGUAUGUAGUUACAUACCUGCAUUAUUGAUCGUUUACCUUAACAGAAAGAACGCAACCGGCUAACUCCCGGUGCCAGCAGCCGCGGUAAUACGGAGGGUGCGAGCGUUAAUCGGAAUUACUGGGCGUAAAGCGCAUGCAGGCGGCCUGUUAAGUCAGAUGUGAAAGCCCGGGGCUUAACCUCGGAAUUGCAUUUGAAACUGGCAGGCU
Molecule: ribosomal RNA, 323 nt
Filed under: uncultured bacterium
Lineage: Bacteria
Description: bacterial SSU rRNA
Rfam family: Bacterial small subunit ribosomal RNA
Source: RNAcentral